CAGAAGUCUACACACAGUGACACAACACCUCUCUCCGGAUGAAAAAGACGAGACUAGAUGAUGAAUAGCAGCAGCAGAUGCAGCGAAAUGAUGAAGCUAUUCGACUCACACUGCCACCUUCAGGACCCAAGAAUUCACCAUCUGGCACCUCAAAUCAUCAGAACAGCUAUGGAAUCCGGAGUCAGUCACUUUGCUGUGAAUGGUGUAUCUGAAAAAGAUUGGAGUUUGGUUAAAAAAAUGAGCGAGGAUUAUCCUUCCUCCGUUAUUCCCUGCUUUGGUCUCCAUCGCUGGUAUAUUCUUGAAAGGACUCCUAAUUGGUUCAACACUUUGAGUGACCUCUUUGGUUCAACCCCUUCCGCAACUGUUGGCGAGAUUGGGUUGGACAAAGGCUCCCAUGGAAAGCAAAUUGAUUUCAAUGAUCAGGUUCAAGUUUUCAGACAGCAACUUGAACUAUCUAAAGAGUUGAAGAAACCAGCUUCUGUCCAUUGUGUUCGCGCGUUCGGUGAUCUUCUAGAAAUAAUGCAGUCUAUGGGGCCUUUCCCUGCAGGGGUGAUUCUUCACUCUUAUCUAGGAUCAGCAGAAAUGGUUCCUACGCUGGCGAAGCUUGGUGCUUAUUUUUCCUUCUCCGGGUAUGUUAUGGAUUUGAAACCUCAGAAAGCAAACAAAAUGCUGAAAUCGGUACCUACUGAGAGGAUUUUAUUGGAGUCAGAUGCACCUGAUGCUCUACCGAAGUCGAGUUUGAAUUUUCUUCAAGGGGAAGUGACUUCUUUGCAAGCAAUUUAGAGCCAAGAAGCAAAUAUUCUAGGGUCUAGCAAUUCCUCUGACCAAUCAUUGCCAAAAGAAACACUUAAUCAACCAGCUAAUAUUCGUAUAGUACUUAGAUAUGUCGCAUCCAUGCUUGAGAUGCCAGAAGAGGAGCUUGCUGAACUUAGCCACAGAAAUGCGUUGCAGUUGUUCUCUUCUUAUCCUGGUUCAAAAGUAAACUAAUGUCGAUAUGUGUUUCGAUAUGCGUUGCAGUUGUUCACUGUAUGUAGUUUCAGAACAGCGAAUGAUCAUCUUUAUACUUUUCGUCUUCGUGAAAUUAAGCUUCAACUAGUUAUAUCUUAUAUGUUACAGUAUAUUCUUUAAGCAUAGCAAAGUGUUAUAAGCUGUCGGCAUGAACAAUUGUGUGAUAUACAAAGUACCCCUGCCGUCACGAAUGUGAUGAGUGCGUGGAUGAACAUGAUUCGUGUAAAUGCAUUGCAGGUGAUUCUCUUCUUCUAUGAAUGAUGUAAUUCACAGAGCAAUAAUAAUCUGUCUGGUUUACUUA
Papaver somniferum (opium poppy) is the source of this 1309-nucleotide RNA transcript. RefSeq lists it as uncharacterized. The record is from RefSeq and is a predicted model, not a curated record. NCBI's taxonomy places the organism in Eukaryota, Viridiplantae, Streptophyta, Magnoliopsida, Ranunculales, Papaveraceae. The transcript has 7 exons.